CGAAGGGUGCAAGCGUUAAUCGGAAUUACUGGGCGUAAAGCGUGCGUAGGCGGUUCGUUAAGUCUGUCGUGAAAGCCCUGGGCUCAACCUGGGAAUGGCGAUGGAUACUGGCGAGCUAGAGUGUGAUAGAGGAUGGCGGAAUUCCCGGUGUAGCGGUGAAAUGCGUAGAGAUCGGGAGGAACAUCCGUGGCGAAGGCGGCCAUCUGGAUCAACACUGACGCUGAGGCACGAAAGCGUGGGGAGCAAACAGGAUUAGAUACCCUGGUAGUCCACGCCCUAAACGAUGCGAACUGGAUGUUGGGCUCAACUCGGAGCUCAGUGUCGAAGCUAACGCGUUAAGUUCGCCGCCUGGGGAGUACGGUCGCAAGACUG
RNAcentral lists this ribosomal RNA (372 nucleotides) under uncultured organism. Its description in RNAcentral is "bacterial SSU rRNA". It matches the Rfam family "Bacterial small subunit ribosomal RNA", at positions 526 to 896 of the family's 1533-position model. The record is from RNAcentral.